UAAGAUAGAGGCGCGGUACUUAUCAUUAGGACGGUCGAAAUGACAGGCAGUCAGACUUGUUCCGAAAGGAAUUGCCGCCGAAAUACACAGUCAUCGCCUUAAAGCUGUGUAUUGGGAUGCAGGAGAAUAUGCUGCAUACUGUCACACUCGUGGAGCGCUAUCCGU
Molecule: non-coding RNA, 165 nt
Filed under: bovine gut metagenome
Description: Lysine riboswitch
Rfam family: Lysine riboswitch aptamer
About the family: Riboswitches are metabolite binding domains within certain messenger RNAs that serve as precision sensors for their corresponding targets. Allosteric rearrangement of mRNA structure is mediated by ligand binding, and this results in modulation of gene expression. This family includes riboswitches that sense lysine in a number of genes involved in lysine metabolism, including lysC.
Source: RNAcentral